This 70-nucleotide ribosomal RNA is filed under the name Pistacia lentiscus. Lineage: Eukaryota; Viridiplantae; Streptophyta; Magnoliopsida; Sapindales; Anacardiaceae. The record is from RNAcentral.
UUAAGUUGGUGCUUGGGCGAGAGUAGUACUAGGAUGGGUGACCUCCUGGGAAGUCCUCGUGUUGCACCCC